GCUGAUAAUAAGCUCAAUUGGGCUUUUGAGUGCAUGUGCUAAAAUAAGCCUCCCCCACAAAAAAUAAGCCCUCUCCGAAAAUAUUUAAACGCAGAACUGGAAAUCAGGGCCCUUCUAUCAAGCAAUAACACCUUCUUUGAGCACAAUGUCAUGCCAUCUCAGUGGCAGCACCUGAAACACCAUCCCUCCAGAGAUUUAGAGUGUCCCAACCCUGUUUGGCUUUUUGCAAGGCAUUGAAGAUCUGGCUAUUUCUCCAGACAUUUGGGUCAGAUGGUUAGAUACUGAAUUUGUGAGGAUCAGAAUAGACAUUUAUGAAAGCUGGAAUACAUGAGACCUGCUCAGAUUAAGCCAUGGGGGCAGAAAGGGUGAUUUUGGAGUAUUUCAACAUAAAGAGCAUGCAGGAAAAGACCAGGAUAAAGAUCUUUAAGAAGAUUUAUUAGAGAACCUCAAAAUAAACAAAGAUUACUAUGUGAACUAGAUAAGCUGAUAGUACCCAAGAGAAAAAUCAACAAAAGUAGUUUACUGGGACUGACCAAGCUUCAUCAAAAGUCAUAGAACUGGAUGAAAACUGUAAAGUUUGGAGACAUCACAGAAAAUGAGACAUUAUACCAGGUGUCGCUACUUCUACUUUGAUUCUUCUGGCGUUCAAACCAAGCAUAAUCAGAUAGUGGGUAGGGACGGAGGAGGAUGAAAAAUGAGCUAAUGUAGUGAAUAGAAAUUUUGGAAGUACUUUGCUUAGUAUGGUAAUGAUAGCAUUGCUGAUGAUUACUGUGCUCCUGAGAUACAAUAAAUUAACUGUGUGGCCUUCU
Molecule: long non-coding RNA, 809 nt
Organism: Pantherophis guttatus
Lineage: Eukaryota; Metazoa; Chordata; Lepidosauria; Squamata; Colubridae
Source: RefSeq, a predicted model, not a curated record